UUUUCCGCAAUGGGCGAAAGCCUGACGGAGCAAUGCCGCGUGGAGGUGGAAGGCCUACGGGUCGUCAACUUCUUUUCUCGGAGAAGAAACAAUGACGGUAUCUGAGGACUAAGCAUCGGCUAACUCUGUGCCUGAAGCCGCGGUAAGACAGAGGAUGGAAGCGUUAUCCGGAAUGAUUGUGCGUAAAGCGUCUGUAAGUGGCUUUUUAAGUUCGCCGUCAAAUCCCAGGGCUCAACCCUGGACAGGCGGUGGAAACUACCAAGCUGGAGUGCGGUAGGGGCAGAGGGAAUUUCCGGUGGAGCGGUGAAAUGCGUAGAGAUCGGAAAGAACACCAACGGCGAAAGCACUCUGCUGGGCCGACACUGACACUGAGAGACGAAAGCUAGGGGAGCGAAUGG
This 398-nucleotide ribosomal RNA is filed under the name uncultured bacterium. Its description in RNAcentral is "bacterial SSU rRNA". It matches the Rfam family "Bacterial small subunit ribosomal RNA", at positions 362 to 775 of the family's 1533-position model. The record is from RNAcentral.